CCUACGGGAGGCAGCAGUGGGGAAUAUUGCACAAUGGGCGAAAGCCUGAUGCAGCAACGCCGCGUGAGCGAUGAAGUCCUUCGUGUUGUAAAGCUCUGUCCUCAAGGAAGAUAAUGACGGUACUUGAGGAAGAAGCCCCGGCUAACUACGUGCCAGCAGCCGCGGUAAUACGUAGGGGGCUAGCGUUAUCCGGAAUUACUGGGCGUAAAGGGUGCGUAGGUGGAUUGUUAAGUCAGAGGUGAAAGGGUACGGCUCAACCGUAGUACGCCUUUGAAACUGGCGAACUUGAGUGCAGGAGAGGAGAGUGGAAUUCCUAGUGUAGCGGUGAAAUGCGUAGAUAUUAGGAGGAACACCAGUUGCGAAGGCGGCUCACUGGACUGUAACUGACGCUGAGGCACGAAAGCGUGGGGAGCAAACAGGAUUAGAUACCCCUGUAGUC
This 439-nucleotide ribosomal RNA is filed under the name uncultured bacterium. RNAcentral describes it as "partial 16S ribosomal RNA". It matches the Rfam family "Bacterial small subunit ribosomal RNA", at positions 338 to 795 of the family's 1533-position model. The record is from RNAcentral.